This 10515-nucleotide long non-coding RNA is filed under the name Jatropha curcas. RNAcentral's name for it is "long non-coding RNA (JCUR_LNC000564)". The record is from RNAcentral. Lineage: Eukaryota; Viridiplantae; Streptophyta; Magnoliopsida; Malpighiales; Euphorbiaceae.
ACACCGAGAGAACAACCGGUAGCCGGCGGGAAGUUACUUGCAUAAUGACGGAUGCUGUUAUCUGUUCUCCGCUUGGAAAAAUGGCGGAGGAUAUGAAUGUUCCAUGGAUAGCCUUUAUGGUACCUCAUCCAAAUGAUCUUGUUUGCUAUUUUGAGAUGGAUAAAAUUCAAAAGCUUUUCGCUAAUGCUAAAAGCGAAAAUGAUCAUGUAGAUGUUAUUCCUGGAUUAUCUUCCUUACCUUUAAAGAUUUACCCCAUGAAAUACAUUUAAGCAAGCCAAGUAAUGAACUUGUGCUAUAUUUAUAUCGUAUGGCACAAAAACUACCACAAGCAAAAGCUCUUUUGUUGAAUACCUAUGAAGAACUAAACCCAAUUCCUCUCACAAAUUAUCUAAAAUCAAAAGUUAAGAACUUACUCUAAAUAGGUUGCUUAACUUCAUCGAUUACACAGGAGAAUGAUGGUAGUUCAACUUCUGCAGGUUGUUUAUUUUCAUGGCUCGAUAGACAAAAAGUUGGUUCUGUUGUCUAUAUGUCUUUUGGAACAGUUGUAGAAUUGGAUAGUGAAGAGUUAAUGGCAUUAGCUGAAGCAAUUGAAUUUAGUGGCAAGCCAUUUCUCUGGUAUCUUAAAGACAAAUGCAAAGAAAAUCUUACAGAAGGGUUUCUUGAAAGAACAAAAGAGAAAGGAAUGGUGGUUUCUUGGGCACCACAGAGAGAGAUUCUGCAACAUGGUUCAGUUGGUGUGUUUGUAAACCAUGGAGGGUAUCAUUCAUUGCAGGAGAGUACAUUGGGUGGAGUGCCAGUGAUUUGUAGGUCACAUUUCAGCUGUCUACUUAAAAUAUUUAAAUGGACCUAAGCUAGAAGCAUUUUCUAAUACGAAUUCCAAAUUGCAAUUUGCACUAUAUAAGGAAUGCUCAUUCUCUUGUUAUUAAGCCAAGCAAAAAAGAGUUGAAAAAAAGAAACUAGCCAUUUUUAGGUAAUUGCGUGCCAAAAAUGGUUCAAGGGGAUGACAGUACCCGAGGAUCAAGUUCAAGUGAUCAAUCGCAGAUGAAUAUCCCAGGGGCAGGCGAUGCACAAACAAGAAAUGCUCAUGGAGGAGAAAAUUCCCAGGUGGGGAAUGCAUCUGGUGGCAGUACACAAGCUGAAAAUUCACAGUACACGAGCCAGCAAAUGGUUUACAGCGUAGGACCUCAGUCCUGGAACCCUCAUGGUUUAAACCCUUAUAUUUGGGGAAACCCUUACAUGGUGAAUCCUAUGUGUGGGAACCCGUGCUUGAUGAACCCUUAUUGGGUUCAUCCUUCCCAGGUAGUUUGUGCUAACCCUAAAUGUUGGCACCCACAAUGUGUAACAGCAGAAGAUGGAUGUCAUAAAACAACCAGAUUUCGUUUCACAAGAGGAAAAUAGCCAAGACCCUCCAAGCAGGACUGUCCAAGAUCCCAAACCAGAGAACGUCCCACAAAAGAGAAAUGUUCAGGCAAGAAAAUCUGAAAAAGGUAGUUCAAAAAAUGACAUUAUAAAGCAUCAGAAUGGAUCAACGGUUCGUUCAUUAGUUCUAGAACUGCCAAGAAGAAGGAUCGUAAUCUUUGAUAGGGCUGCCGCUUUUUGGCCGCCAGUUAUCAAACUAUCUCCCACGCCCAGGGAGAUAUGGGGUGUUAAUAUAUUGGGGUUUGUCCUUAUUUGUUCUCUUGAUGGCCUUUAUGAUUUAUGGUUAUGUUACGGGAAAUUUUCAUUUUGAAUUUGAAAUGUAAUGAGGAAAUCAUCGUUCGUGACACGCAGUGCAGAAAGCCAUGUUCUAAUGAUCAUCGAAGAAGCCAUGUUUCCUGCAAUUUUAUGAUGUAUUAUCUUUUUCAAUUCAAUAAAAACUUAUUACAAGAGAAAAUCUUACUUGGCCAAAAGAAAGAUAUUGAAAAUAGAUUGAAAUUUUACUUUGAAUUAAGUUGAAAUACUAAUUAGUAAACUGGUUAAAUUUGACAAGUUUGUUGAAUCAAUUCUAUUUAGAAUUCCAUUUACAAACGAAUAUUCAUAUUGUAAUAAAAUCUAAAAUAUAUUUACAUAAAGAGAAAAAAUAAUGAAAAUAAAGAGAUAGGGAUGAGAGGAAGAAGAAGAAUUAGAAGAUGGAGAGGAAAGAUAGAAAAAGAAGAGGAAAGAGAGGGGGGAGAGAAAAGAAAAGAAAAGAAAAGAAAAGGAUGGAAAAUGAGAAGAUGAGCAUUUAUGGGAUUGAAUUCAUUUAUUAAUUUUAAAUAUUAAAUAUAAUUAAUAAUAUAUCCAAAUUGUCAAAAAUAUGAUUCUUUUUAUUUGUUUAUGAGAACUUAAGUAUAAAUAUUAUGCAAAAAUUUGAUCACCAUUUAAUAAAAAACAUCCAAUAAUGUUAUGCAGAUUUUAUUUUGGUUUACAUAAGUAAGCCAAAAAAAAAAAAGAGUUUUUAUUAGCAAGGAAGAACACUCCAAUUGUGGAUAAUUAUAUAAUUAUUAUAUACUUAAGAAAAAAAUUGUCUAUUCUUCUUAUUAAGGUCAGAAGUUCGAGUUGUAAAAAAAAAAAAAAAAAAUUAUAGAGAGACAUAUUGAAACUUAAAACGAGGAUAAUGUUAAUUUAUAAUCCUUGUUAUAAUCUUUGUUCUUAUUAAAGAUAAAUAAAAUUUUACUAUUUAUAUAAAAUAAUUCUUCCCAUUUUACUAUUUCAAUAUAUAUAUAUAUAUNNNNNNNNNNNNNNNNNNNNNNNNNNNNNNUUUCUUUAUAUAUAUAUAUAUAUAUAUAUAUAUAUUAAUUUAUUAUUCUCUAUAUUAAUUGUUUCUUAGAAAUUAACAUAAAAUAUGAAUUUUCUAUGUUAAUCAAGCUUUCUUUCCUUUUUUUUUUUUUCCCUUUUAAAAUGGAGAGCAAAGAUUAAAGAAUUACAAGUAUAUUUUAGGAUAAGCUAAAAUCAAGUUUUCUUUUCUUUUUUUUUUUUUAAAUCAUCCGGUAUCCGGCACAGCUGACUAAUUCGGAUUCGAGUUCUACAAACACCCAUUAUGGAGGGUAACAGUUCCAACUCAGUUUUCUCUAUUCACUCCCGAAUAUUGCUUAAAAGAUCAAGCUUUCUUUAAUAAUAUUAUUUUUCUCAUACAAUUGCUUGCUCCUGUUUUUUUUCUUUUUUAGUAUAAUCAUAGAUAUCUCUAACCAACUAAGUUAGGACUAAAUUCUGCUCAAAUCAGGUCAGUCCCAUUAAGGAGCGGUGGCAUUCAUUCAUGAAAAUCGAUUCUUUUGCAUUGAACUAUUCAUCGAUUACGAUUGCUACUAUUUAACACGUUAAUAUGCACCUGCAUAAAUAAACUUGUUUUUAGUUUAAUUCAUAUUAGUUAGGUAUGUUAUGGAGGUUGCUCAGCAAAUGCAUAAUAGAGUUUAUUACCUAAACUAAGUUUGCUUAGUCAAACUAACGAACGGAGGUUGAGAAAGUUAGCUACUACAGAGUAUAGAUCCCUGUAUAAAAUGCAAUCAAUACCAUUUCAAACAAGAACAAAAACUAAGAGCGAAACCAAAAGGAAAAGACAAAAAAAAAAAAAAAAAAUCUUUCUAUCUUAUUUCCCAAAUCUCUCUUCACAAUGCCAUCAACCCAAAGCUCAUCGCCACAAAUAGCAGCAAGUCAUGUAGCUGUGUGCACAUGGCCAUUUAGUAGCCAUCCAUUAGGUUUCUUCAACUUAGUUCGUAAAUUAGCCACAGAAGCUCCUCAAACUCAGUUUUCUUUCUUCAGCUUACCGAAAACAAACUCCAUUAUCAAGUCAUCUCAAAAGAACUCUCCAUUACCAACUAACCUCAUGUCCUACGACGUAGACGAUGGCAUUCCGGAAGGAGUUAAUCACUUAACAAUAGAUCAUGCCGUGGAAGUCAGGCAUUUCCUCGAACAGUUACCGUACAACUUCGAACACCGUAUUGAAGAAGUGCUGGCGGACACCGAGAGAACAACCGGUAGCCGGCGGGAAGUUACUUGCAUAAUGACGGAUGCUGUUAUCUGUUCUCCGCUGGGAAAAAUGGCGGAGGAUAUGAAUGUUCCAUGGAUAGCCUUUACGGUACCUCAUCCAAAUGAUCUUGUUUGCUAUUUUGAAAUGGAUAAAAUUCAAAAGCUUUUCGCUAAUGCUAAAAGCGAAAAUGAUCGUGUUGAUGUUAUUCCUGGAUUAUCUUCUCUACCCUUUAAAGAUUUACCCCAUGAAAUACAUUUAAGCAAGCCAAGUAAUGAACUUGUGCCAUAUUUAUAUCGUAUGGCACAAAAACUACCACAAGCAAAAGCUCUUUUGUUGAAUACCUAUGAAGAACUAAACCCAAUUCCUCUCACAAAUUAUCUAAAAUCAAAAGUUAAGAACUUACUCUACAUGGUUUGCUCAACUUUAUCGAUUACACAGGAGAAUGAUGGUAGUUCUACUUCUGCAGGUUGUUUAUUUUCAUGGCUCGAUAGACAAAAAGUUGGUUCUGUUGUCUAUGUAUCUUUUGGAACUGUUGUAGAAUUGGGUAGUGAAGAGUUAAUGGCACUAGCGGAAGCAAUUGAAUAUAGCGGUAAGCCAUUUCUCUGGUCUCUUAAAGACAAAUGCAAAGAAAAUCUUCCAGAAGGGUUUCUUGAAAGAACAAAAGAGAAAGGAAUGGUGGUUUCUUGGGCACCACAGAGAGAGAUUCUGCAACAUGGUUCAGUUGGUGUGUUUGUAAACCAUGGUGGGUAUAAUUCUAUGUGGGAGAGUAUAUUGGGCGGAGUGCCAAUGAUUUGUAGGUCAGUUUGGGCAGAUAAUCAUAUAAAUGCAAAAGUUGCAGAGGAGGUGUGGGGGGUUGCUGUGAGAGUUGAAGGUAGGGUUAUUACUAAAAGUGGAAUUGUUAAGUGCUUGGAAAUGGUUUUUGAGCAGGAAAAAGAGAAGAAAAUGAGACAGGCUUGUAAGGAACUUAGACAAGUUUUGAUCGAAGCUGAUGGUCCUGAUGGUGUUGCUGCUAAGAAUCGAAAGACUCUGUUGCACUUAAUCAGUGGCUAAAGAUCUUAUUUUAUAUGUGCAUGCAUAUAUAUAUAUAUAUAUAUAUAUAUUGCUACAUAAAUAAAUGAACAGAGGGCCAUGGUUGCUACUUAAGAUAUGUGUCUCAUGCAAAUAUUUUUCUUAUGCAAUUUUCAUACCUAAUGUAAGCAAUUAUUGAGUGAAUUGACUAUAUUUCUUUAAUUUGUCUAUAUUACUGUCAGAAAUUAAAACAAUCAUUAUUAAUGGCAAAAAUGAAAAAAAUAAUUUAUUAUUUAUGAAAUUCACAAAUGUGAUAAAUAUUUGAGAACAUAAUAUUAUCCGUUUCUUGCGUGAUGUGUUUGUAGCGCAUGGUGCCUGUCCUUAUCAAAAAAAAAAAAAAAAAAACACAUGGUGGGUACAAUUGUUUGUGGGUCUGGCAGAUAAUCAUAUAAAUGCAAAAUUGCAGGAGUGUGGGGUUGAGGGUAUAAUUAUUAGACUAAAUGAUAAAAAGAAGUCCUAAUCUUUGACAAUUUUUGUAAUUUCAGCAAUUAUGGCUAUGAAUUUAUUUUUUUCGUUAUAAUUAUAGUCUCUUUUGUGUGACAGCGAAAAUGAUUUAAUAUUUCUAGAAUUAUAUUCAUGAAAAUUUACAUUAUUACAAAUAAAAUAAAUUAUAUCAAUUAACAUAAAAAUAAAGUAUGAAAGCGUUGAUCGGCUUAGAUCUCCUCAUAAUUAUAUCAAUUAACUACUUAUCCAUAAAAAUAAAUCGAUUUUUCAAUUUUACUUUUAUUUAUAGUAAAUGCAAAAAUUGUCUUUAAUUCUCUAUAAUUUUUUUAAAGGAUAAUUUAAUUAAAUUAAUGAACAUUUUAUUAUAAUUUAAGAUACAACAAAUAUUUGUGAAUGAAGGGAGUAUUUCUUUUUCUUUUACAAGAGACUCUAACUAAAACAAAAACUAUAAUAAAUAAAGAGAAAGAUAUAAAUAUCAUACAAAUGCUAUGAGAUAGGGGUGCCCGAAUUCCAGUUUUUGAAACCGGAACCGUCGAUUCAGAACCGAUUGGAACCGAAACUGGCUAGAACUGGAACCAUAUUGAAGAGGUUGCUGUUCGGUUUCAGCUUUAAAUUUUUAGAAUCGUGAAUAGGUGGUUUAAAGAACUGGUCGAAACCGAAGGUUUUGAUAAUCGCUUAGAACCAGCAGUUCCAACACAUUUUUAUUUUAUUUUUAUCAAAAUCUUCAAAUUAACCCCUCUAACAUCUAUAAACGGCUAUAUAAUAUCUAGUUAUAUUAACGGUAUUUGUGUAAGUUAGAUUUUUUAACUUUAAAACUAUGUAAAACCGAUCGAAAAACCGUUGAUUUUGGAACUAUUAAGGAACCAGAAUCAUCGGUUUUACAAUCUUGCUUUACUUUUUAUACAUAAUUAAAAGUCUUGACUUUGAUCACCAUGGUGGUAAGAUACAACUAAGAAACUUGAAACUGAGAAGUAUCUGAAACUGAGAAACUUUAAUGUCCUUGACCAAAUUCCUCUUGAAACAACUGAGAAGUAUCUUUCUCUGAGUUGGCUUCAGGCCAUCAAUCACGGAAGGAAUAGGUCUUUGAAGAUCCGCCACUGAAAACAAAAUAAGCUCCUUGUUAAUGAACUUGCUGUAUUUUAUUAGCUUCGGUAUAAAAGGAUAGAACAUUUCCACUGCUAUGAGUUGCCUGUACAAGAUAGAGCACCAAAAAUUAUGAAGUUCCGACGGUGAAGAUUUGUUUCAGGUGGGUGCCUGGACUGUUCUUUUUUGUUUAUUAUUUUUCUCAAUAAAAGGAAAACAUUUAUAUUUUUCCGUUGUUUUCUUUUUUUUUAAGGUAUAAUUUUCCUUUGUUUUCAAAGCUAUAAAUUUACAAUUUUAAAUUCAUUCUUAUUUAUUUAUAGAUAUAUAAUGUGAAAGGGUAUUAUUAUAAUUAUGUAUAAUAUCAUUUAUUCUCGAUAUGUUUUUUUUUUUUUUUUUAACUGAAAGAUGACUUAAUUAUUAUUAGUAUCCAUCAAAAUUAUAUCAUGAAUAAAAGAAAGAUAAUUCAUGAUCCAUUAUGAAUCAGACAUAGAACCAGCAGUAUGAGCUAUCAAUGCGUUGCUUGACUCACUGAUCUCUUUAACAAAAGCAAAUGAUAAAAAAUUGAACUCCUUUGUAAAAAGUUUUACAAUCAGCUGUAAUAACGUAAGAAAAAUAAUAUUGACUUGUGUUUGACUCUCGAAUGACCAACAACUGUGACUCUCCACCUUCAAUGGAACAUUUUGGUAUCGUGUUUUCAACCAACUUAGAGCUUCCUUGAUCCCUGUCGUCUCUGCCAUCAGAGCACUCACCACACUAUCCAGUUUCGGCAGUCGGCCAUCAACACAUCUCCCCUCGCCAUCUCUAACCAGGCAUCCUACUCCCGCCAUGUCAUCCAAUGGGUUAUAGUUUGCGUGUUUCGUUUUCUAUUUAAUUUAAAGAGAUUAUAUAUUGUGAGCAGAACAAAAUUUAGUACAUUUUUAAUUAAUUUUUCUCUCUAAUUUUGAACAAUGCAAAAUGAUCCUUCCCCUUUAUUUUCCUCAGUUAAUUUUUUUGGCUGCAAUAUUUUAGACUAUAAAAAACUUUUAUCUCAUAUACCUUCGUGGUUCUUACUAAUUUGAAUUUUUUUAUACGAAAAGAGUUCAUUACAAGCCUAUCUCAUUUUCUUCCCCUUUUCCUGCUCAAAAAUCAUUUCCAAGCACUUAACAAUUCCACUUUGAGUAAUAACCCUACCUUCAACUCUCACAGCAACCCCCCACACCUCCUCUGCAACUUUUGCAUUUAUAUGAUUAUCUGCCCAAACUGACCUACAAAUCAUUGGCACUCCACCCAAUAUACUCUCCAACAUAGAAUUAUACCCACCAUGGUUUACAAACACACCAAUUGAAACAUGUUGCAGAACAUCUCUGUGUGCAGCCCAAGGAACCACCUUUCCUUUCUCAUUACUUCUUUCAAGAAACCCUUUUGGAAGAUUUUCUUUAUAUUUUUCUUUAAGAGACCAAAGAAAUGGCUUACCACUAAAUUCAAUUGCUUCAGCUAAUGCCAUUAACUCUUCACUUUCCAAUUCUAAAACUGUUCCAAAAGAUAUAUAGACAACAGAACCAACUUUUUGUCUAUCGAGCCAUGAAAAUAAACAACCUGCAGAANNNNNNNNNNNNNNNNNNNNNNNNNNNNNNNNNNNNNNNNNNNNNNNNNNNNNNNNNNNNNNNNNNNNNNNNNNNNNNNNNNNNNNNNNNNNNNNNNNNNNNNNNNNNNNNNNNNNNNNNNNNNNNNNNNNNNNNNNNNNNNNNNNNNNNNNNNNNNNNNNNNNNNNNNNNNNNNNNNNNNNNNNNNNNNNNNNNNNNNNNNNNNNNNNNNNNNNNNNNNNNNNNNNNNNNNNNNNNNNNNNNNNNNNNNNNNNNNNNNNNNNNNNNNNNNNNNNNNNUUAGCGAAAAGCUUUUGAAUUUUAUCCAUUUAAAAAUAGCAAACAAGACCAUGUGGUGUAGGUACUGUAAAGGCUAUCCAUGGAAUAUUCAUAUCCUCGCCAUUUUUCCAACCGGAAAACAGAUAACAGCAUCUGUCAUUAUGAAGUGUCAGAAAAUUAGGUAUUAGAGAUCCCUCUAUAAAAUUCAAUCAACGACGUUAAAAGAACUCUAACCAAAACCUCACUUCAACAAAUAGCACCAUAUUUCUUUUUAGUGGCCAUCAAUUAGCUUUCUUUUACUUGGUACAUAAACUGGCAACAGAAGCUUCUCAAUUUCAUUUUUCUUUCUUCUACUUAGCAAAAACUAACCCAAUUGUAAAUAAUGUCAUUUUAUAUUGGAUGAAAAUGAAAAUUAAAAUAUAGAACGCAGAAACGAACAUAAAGAAAAAAGUAUUUAUAUAUAUAUUUUUUAAAUAUAAGAGAAGAAAAAUGUAAAAAUAUUUAGUAGAAAAAAAUGUGAUAUUUAUUGUGAAAUAUAUAUAUGUAUCCUUGUUAUAAUCUUUGUUCUUAUUAAAGAUGAAUAAAAUUUUACUAUUUAUAUAAAAUAAUUCUUCCUAUUUUACUAUAUAUAUAUAUAUUAAUUUAUUAUUCUCUAUAUUAGUUGUUUCUUAGAAAUUAACAUAAAAUAUGAAUUUUCUAUAUUAAUCAAGCUUUCUUUCCUUCUCUUUUUUUUUUUUAACUUUUAAAAUGGGGAGCAAAGCUUAAUGAAUUACAAUGCACAUUCUAGGAUGAGCUAAAAUCAAGUUUUCUUCUUCGUUUUUUUUUUUUUUAAACCACCUGGUAUCCAGCACAGCUGACUAAUCUGGAUUCGGAUUCUGCAAAGACCCAUUAUGGGGGCGACCGUUCCAACUCAAUUUUCUCCAUUCACACUAGAAUAUUGCUUAAAAGAUCAAGCUUUCUUUAGUAAUAUUAUUUUUCUCAUUCAAUUGCUUACUCUUUUUUUUUUUUUUUAGUAUAAUUAUAGAUAUCUCUAGCCAAUUAAGUUAGGACUAAAUUCUGCUCAAAUUAGGUCAACCCCAUUAAGGAGGAGUGGCACUCAUCGAUUGCGAUUGCUAAUAUUUAAAACCUUAAUAUGCACCUGCAUAAAUAAACGUGUUUUUAGUUUAAUCUUAUUAGUUGGGUAUGUUAUGGAGGUUGCUCAGCUAAUCCAUAAUAGAGUUUAGUACCUAAACUAAGUUCAUCUUUGCUUAGUCAAACUAACGAAUGGAGGUUGAGAAAGUUAGCUACUACAGAAUAUAGAUCCCUCUAUAAAAUGCAAUCAAUACCAUUUCAAACAAGAACAAAAACUAAGAGCGAAACCAAAAGGAAAAGACCAAAAAAAAAAAAAAAAACUUUCUUUCUUAUUUCCCUAUUCUCUCUUCACAAUGCCAUUAACCCAAAGCUCAUCACCAUAAAUAGCAGCAAGUCAUGUAGCUGUGUGCACAUGGCCAUUUAGUAGCCAUCCUUUUGGUUUCUUCAACUUAGUUCGUAAAUUAGCGGCAGAAGCUCCUCAAACUCAGUUUUCUUGCUUCAGCUUACCGAAAGCAAACUCCAUUAUCAAGUCACCUCAAAAGAACUCUCCAUAACCACCUACCCUCAUGUCCUACGACGUAGACGACGGCAUUCCGGAAGGAGUUAAUCACUUAACAAUAGAUCAUGCCAUGGAAGUCAGGCAUUUCCUCGAUCAGUUACCGUACAAUUUCGAACGCCGUAUUGAAGAAGUGCUGGCGGACACCGAGAGAACAACCGGUAACCGGCGGGGAGUUACUUGCAUAAUGACGGAUGCUGUUAUCUGUUCUCCGCUUGGAAAAAUGGCGGAGGAUAUGAAUGUUCCAUGGAUAGCCUUCAUGGCAGCUCCACCGAAUGAUCUUGUUUGCUAUUUUGAAAUGGAUAAAAUUCAGAAGCUUUUCGCUAAUGCUAAAAGCGAAAAUGAUCAUAUAGAUGUUAUUCCUGGAUUAUCUUCUUUACCCUUUAAAGAUUUACCCCAUGAAAUACAUUUAAGCAAGCCAAGUAAUGAACUUGUGCCAUAUUUACAUCGUAUGGCACAAAAACUACCACAAGCAAAAGCUCUUUUGUUGAAUACCUAUGAAGAACUAAACCCAAUUCCUCUCACAAA